GGGGCUGUAGCUCAGUGGUAGAGCGUUUGCCUAGCGUGUAUGAGGCACUGGGUUUGAUCCUCAGCACCA
This is a non-coding RNA of Ictidomys tridecemlineatus (thirteen-lined ground squirrel), 69 nucleotides long. Lineage: Eukaryota; Metazoa; Chordata; Mammalia; Rodentia; Sciuridae. The record is from Rfam.